AUGGUCUUAUGGAGCAUAGAUGCUAUCAGCAAAUGUCAGAUCAAAGAGAUACUAGAUGGAUCAGAAGAUCCACUUAUGUUGUGUCCAAGCAGGAAAGAAUGGAUAAAAAGUUUGGAGUGCGCAUUGAAGAGCAAGGAGGUCUUUUGCACAGGGUGGACUAUGAAUGCAAAAUGUGCAUACGCACCUACCAGAAAAAACCAGAUGUAUGACUAUUCAGUAAGCCUGCAGAGGUACCGCGAGUUGCGUAAUUGUAGUCACGCCGCAAGUUUCAAGGCAUGCCACUCUGAUGAGGACUAUCAUCGUCUAAAGAUGCUUUUGCAAGCACAACAUCAUGGCAAGCAAUCAAGUUUUGAACAAGCUGACAGCAAGGACUCAACUAAUGCUCAGCAUAACAGCAUUAGGACGAGGUGCACCGAAGAAAAGGCUGCAGGCAAAGACAAAGAAGUCAAGAUCACAGAAUAUCUGUGGCUAUUGCAAGAAACCAGGUCACAAUCAACGAUCUUGAGGCCAAACUGUGAUAUCUACAUACAGCAUGAACCGACGAUGAGCCAGAGAAAGUCGUGUGCCAUUCAGCUUUGUGUGACGUGGUCUUUACAUUCUAUUUCACCGUGA
RNAcentral lists this ribosomal RNA (612 nucleotides) under Triticum aestivum (bread wheat). Its description in RNAcentral is "partial small subunit ribosomal RNA". Lineage: Eukaryota; Viridiplantae; Streptophyta; Magnoliopsida; Poales; Poaceae. The record is from RNAcentral.